AUGGAUGCAGCCUCCUUAUCACGGGUGGCCUACGACCACUUCUCCUCCAUCCUUGGCACUGCGACUGCCCAGACCCACUCCAUCUGCCUCGACGCGAUCAACCACAGAAGCUUCGAUCUCCUCAAGCUAGACGCUCCUUUCUCCGAGGAGGAGAUCAGGGACGCGAUCAAGAAGAUCCCAAUGGGCAAGGCACCCGGCCCCGAUGGAUUCACCUUUGAUUUCCUCCGGGCGUGCUGGACAAUCAUCAAGGCAGAUAUCUGCGAGGCCUUCGACAAACUCUAUGCCAUGAACGGGCGUGACUUUCACAAGCUCAAUGAGGCCCUCCUCGUCUUGCUGCCCAAGAAACCUGACGCCACCGCGAUCACCGACUACCGGCCCAUCAGCCUGAUUCACAUCAUCACCAAAUUGUUCGCCAAAGUGCUCUCCUUGCACCUUGACCCCAGGAUGAAGGAGAUCGUCUCUGCCAAUCAAAGCGCUUUCAUGAUUGGCCGCUACGUGCAUGAUAACUUUCUCCUUGUUCAGCAAACUGCCAGGCUCCUCCACAACAACAAGUCACCACAAGUCCUACUGAAGCUUGACAUCGCCAAAGCAUUUGAUACAGUCUCCUGGCCUUUCUUGCUCGAGACUCUGUUGCAUCUUGUCUUUGGUAGGCGCUGGUGCGAGUGGAUCUCCAUUAUCACAUCCACAGCCUCCACUCAUGUCCUCGUUAACGGCAACUAG
RNAcentral lists this ribosomal RNA (720 nucleotides) under Triticum aestivum (bread wheat). RNAcentral's name for it is "partial small subunit ribosomal RNA". The record is from RNAcentral. Lineage: Eukaryota; Viridiplantae; Streptophyta; Magnoliopsida; Poales; Poaceae.